CGGGGGAGGCCGGAUCCUGGGCUGUGUCCCGGCGCCCUGUGCUCCGGAGCCUGCGCUGUUGGAUUCACGCUCCCGGGCCGCGCAACCCCCU
RNAcentral lists this microRNA precursor (91 nucleotides) under Canis lupus familiaris (dog). Its description in RNAcentral is "mir-8799 microRNA precursor family". It matches the Rfam family "mir-8799 microRNA precursor family". The record is from Rfam by way of RNAcentral. RNAcentral also lists the same sequence under 1 other name. Lineage: Eukaryota; Metazoa; Chordata; Mammalia; Carnivora; Canidae.